UACGAAGGGGGCUAGCGUUGUUCGGAAUUACUGGGCGUAAAGCGCGCGCAGGCGGUCUUCCAAGUCAGUGGUGAAAGCCCGGAGCUCAACUCCAGAACUGCCUUUGAUACUGAGGAUCUUGAGUUCGGGAGAGGUGAGUGGAACUGCGAGUGUAGAGGUGAAAUUCGUAGAUAUUCGCAAGAACACCAGUGGCGAAGGCGGCUCACUGGCCCGAUACUGACGCUGAGGCACGAAAGCGUGGGGAGCAAACAGG
This 253-nucleotide ribosomal RNA is filed under the name uncultured bacterium. RNAcentral's name for it is "partial 16S ribosomal RNA". It matches the Rfam family "Bacterial small subunit ribosomal RNA", at positions 524 to 776 of the family's 1533-position model. The record is from RNAcentral.